Molecule: long non-coding RNA, 514 nt
Organism: Oryzias melastigma (Indian medaka)
Lineage: Eukaryota; Metazoa; Chordata; Actinopteri; Beloniformes; Adrianichthyidae
Exons: 4
Source: RefSeq, a predicted model, not a curated record
GUGCACUCUGAAACUCCGGAAGUUUUUACGUACCCGGGAACGAGAAUAGCAACACUGACGCACUCGGACUGCACUAGAUGCUUCUAGAGCUUUCACUGAGCUUCCAGGGACCUGCAAGAGAGCAGCCGGUUUGAAUAGGGGGCGCCAAAGCUAAUGCUAUCAGGGGCAGUAAUGUAAUAUGAACCUGCAGGCCCGGAGACCCAACAACGCUCUCAGGAUCCUGGCUUUUUUGAGACAGCGUCUCCUACCGACUGGAGGACUAACUGCACCCUCAGGACGAUUUCAGCACUUGGCACAGCAAACGGAUCAAAGCUGUCUACUGCUUUGAGAUCUAUGGGAACGGAGAUCCGGCCUGGAAGAUGAAAGAAAAACUUAGAGCAUAUUCACCUGUUUUGGGAUGGACACUGAAUGGACUCUUGAGCAGAUGGUUCACCCCUUUGCUGACAUUCACGUCGAGCCGCGGGUAACAGUACUGCAGCAUGAUUUCUUUCUCAAAAUGCUGGCCUUUUUUUAC